GUCCUCCCUUCGGCAGCACAUAUACUAAAAAUUGGAACGAUAUAGAGAAGAUUAGCAUGGUCCCUGUGCAAGGAUGACAUGCAAAUUCAUGAAGCAUUCCAUAUUAAA
Otolemur garnettii (small-eared galago) is the source of this 108-nucleotide small nuclear RNA. Lineage: Eukaryota; Metazoa; Chordata; Mammalia; Primates; Galagidae. The record is from Ensembl.